CGGACGGGUGAGUAACGCGUAGGUAACCUGCCCUGAAGAGGAGAAUAACCCUGCGAAAGCGGGGCUAAUACUCCAUAUGUUAGGGGGUCGAUAAGAUCCCUUAAUGAAAGGCGGCAUUAAGCCGUCACUUCGGGAUGGGCCUGCGUCGGAUUAGCUAGCUGGUAGGGUAAAGGCCUACCAGGGCGACAAUCCGUAGCUGGUCUGAGAGGACGAUCAGCCACACUGGGACUGAGACACGGCCCAGACUCCUACGGGAGGCAGCAGUGGGGAAUCUUCCGCAAUGGGCGCAAGCCUGACGGAGCGACGCCGCGUGGGUGAAGAAGGCCUUCGGGUCGUAAAGCCCUGUCAGUGGGGAAGAAAGCAGGCAUCAAGAAAAGGGUGAUCGUUGACGGUACCCGUUGAGGAAGCCCUGGCCAACUACGUGCCAGCAGCCGCGGUAACACGUAGAGGGCAAGCGUUGUCCGGAAUUACUGGGCGUAAAGGGCGCGCAGGCGGUAAGGCAAGUCGGGUGUGAAAACCUGGGGCUUAACCCCAGGCGUGCAUUCGAAACUGUCUUGCUUGAGGGCAGCAGAGGAAAACGGAAUUCCUGGUGUAGUGGUGAGAUACGUAGAUAUCAGGAGGAACACCAGUGGCGAAAGCGGUUUUCUGGGCUGUCCCUGACGCUGAGGCGCGAAAGCCGGGGGAGCGAACGGGAUUAGAUACCCCGGUAGUCCCGGCUGUAAACGUUGGACACUAGGUGUUGGGGGUUAAACUCCCUCAGUGCCGCAGUUAACGCACUAAGUGUCCCGCCUGGGAAUUACGGUCGCAAGACUGAAACUCAAAGGAAUUGACGGGGGCCCGCACAAGCGGUGGAGCAUGUGGCUUAAUUCAAUGCAACGUGGAAAACCUUACC
RNAcentral lists this ribosomal RNA (892 nucleotides) under uncultured bacterium. RNAcentral's name for it is "bacterial SSU rRNA". It matches the Rfam family "Bacterial small subunit ribosomal RNA", at positions 99 to 975 of the family's 1533-position model. The record is from RNAcentral.